AUAGCCUAAAGUUUUUUUUUUAGGUUUUACCUGCCCGGUGAUUUUUUAACGGCUGCGGUAAUACGUGUUAAAGUAGCAUAAUAAUUUGUCUUUUUAUUGAGGACUAGAAUGAAAGGUGUCACGGAGUUUUUUUGUCUUUAGUUAAUAAAGAUAAAUUUAUUUUUUGGUGAAAAAUCCAAAAUUGAAUUAAGGGACGAGAAGACCCUGUAGAGUUUUAUAAAAAUUUCAAAAUUUUUGAAUGUUUAUUUAGUUGGGGCAACUAAGGAUCAUAAAAAAUCCUUAAAUUAAGUUUAAGAUGUUAAAUAAAUAGAACUCUAAGAAAGAUAACUACCUCAGGGAUAACAGCGUUAUUUUUUCUGAGAGUACUAAUUGAAGAAAAAGUUUGCGACCUCGAUGUUGGACUAGGGUAAUAUUAAUAUGCAGAAGUAUUAAAAAAAAGCCUGUUCGGCUUGUAAUUCCUUA
Molecule: ribosomal RNA, 462 nt
Filed under: Steginoporella magnifica
Lineage: Eukaryota; Metazoa; Bryozoa; Gymnolaemata; Cheilostomatida; Steginoporellidae
Description: partial 16S ribosomal RNA
Rfam family: Bacterial large subunit ribosomal RNA
Source: RNAcentral